CUGGUUCCGGUUCACGUUCACACCGUGUGGGCGACCCGGGGGCA
This 44-nucleotide non-coding RNA is filed under the name unclassified sequences. Its description in RNAcentral is "L31-Actinobacteria ribosomal protein leader". It matches the Rfam family "L31-Actinobacteria ribosomal protein leader". The record is from RNAcentral.